UACGGGGGGGCAAGCGUUGUUCGGAAUUACUGGGCGUAAAGGGCUCGUAGGCGGCCCACUAAGUCAGACGUGAAAUCCCUCGGCUUAACCGGGGAACUGCGUCUGAUACUGGAUGGCUUGAAUCCGGGAGAGGGAUGCGGAAUUCCAGGUGUAGCGGUGAAAUGCGUAGAUAUCUGGAGGAACACCGGUGGUGAAGGCGGCAUCCUGGACCGGCAUUGACGCUGAGGAGCGAAAGCCAGGGGAGCAAACGGG
This 252-nucleotide ribosomal RNA is filed under the name uncultured bacterium. RNAcentral describes it as "partial 16S ribosomal RNA". It matches the Rfam family "Bacterial small subunit ribosomal RNA", at positions 524 to 776 of the family's 1533-position model. The record is from RNAcentral.